ACAGUUGUCAUGACCCUUAGACUCGCAACUUCAGGUCAGGUGUGUGAUGACCAUAUUUUAUUUGUAAUAGCUAUUUUCGAGCUUUCAAUAAUUAGAAUAUUAAUUACAGAUAUUUUUGAGGCUAUGAAAGUAAAUAAUUUAAACUUAAAACUUAGUAUUGAAGGCUAUUGAAUUUAUUAAAGAAAAUAUUCAAGUUAUUUUGAGUGAAAAUAAAAGA
This 217-nucleotide long non-coding RNA is filed under the name Elaeis guineensis (African oil palm). RNAcentral describes it as "long non-coding RNA (EGUI_LNC029398)". The record is from RNAcentral. Lineage: Eukaryota; Viridiplantae; Streptophyta; Magnoliopsida; Arecales; Arecaceae.